Molecule: ribosomal RNA, 157 nt
Filed under: Bacillus velezensis
Lineage: Bacteria; Bacillati; Bacillota; Bacilli; Caryophanales; Bacillaceae
Description: partial 16S ribosomal RNA
Rfam family: Bacterial small subunit ribosomal RNA
Source: RNAcentral
UUUAUCGGAGAGUUUGAUCCUGGCUCAGGACGAACGCUGGCGGCGUGCCUAAUACAUGCAAGUCGAGCGGACAGAUGGGAGCUUGCUCCCUGAUGUUAGCGGCGGACGGGUGAGUAACACGUGGGUAACCUGCCUGUAAGACUGGGAUAACUCCGGG